Long non-coding RNA from Papaver somniferum (opium poppy), 572 nucleotides. RefSeq lists it as uncharacterized. NCBI's taxonomy places the organism in Eukaryota, Viridiplantae, Streptophyta, Magnoliopsida, Ranunculales, Papaveraceae. The record is from RefSeq and is a predicted model, not a curated record. The transcript is spliced from 3 exons.
AAAACAAAGAAAGUAGAAGGAAAAUAUCAUCUUCUCCUCUAGGUAUUUCAAGCAUUUUCUUUUGCUUUCUAUGAUGUUUUUGUCGUAUCCAAAGUCGACCGUGAAAGUAAAGCAGCAAGAGAUUAGGAGGGCAUAUUUGUUACUGCAGUGCGCCUCCGUCUUCUAAGAGAAGCUGUCCAUGGGCGACGCAGCAAGGAUAAUUGUUAAUGGUUAGAAGCACCCACGUGUGAUUGGAAGGCCUUCAUUAGUACCCGCAGCUACAGAUCCCUCUACUGCACUACAUCCUAAAUAAUGUAUGGAAGUAUAAUUUAUUUUCUUUGCUAUAUGCAUGAAUACCUUCAUUAGUACAUGCAUCUACAGAGCCCUCUACUGCACUACAUCCUACAUCGUACAUGGAAGUAUAAUUGAUUUGCUUUGCUAAGCCAUAAAAGGAAACAAGGAAAGGAUCGAUAUAGUCAUUUGUCUGAAGUAUAGUCACUAAUGGAAAAUUGCAUUGAUAUAUGCUGUGGUUGUAUAUUUGCACAAUCUUCACUUUUAUUGGUUUUCAAUUAUUGGCAACUUGUAUAUUUGUA